Molecule: unclassified non-coding RNA, 234 nt
Filed under: Hevea brasiliensis (rubber tree)
Lineage: Eukaryota; Viridiplantae; Streptophyta; Magnoliopsida; Malpighiales; Euphorbiaceae
Source: RNAcentral
CCACUCCCUAAGAUCCCUAUGUGUUAGCUUGUUAAUCCCGUUUAAGAUGCUGCCUUCCACCAUGCACAAGUGCAAAGCCAAGAGAUACUACCAUUGCAACUAGAUACCCAGUUAUUGCUCCAUAAGUCACACAUAUUGGCCAGUCCUGCCAUGGCCUUUCCCAGUCAAGUGGCAUCGGCCAAGCCCCAAACCAAGCUCCAAUUAGAGCCCCAUGUGCUGGUAUACAAAUCAUAU